This 1389-nucleotide long non-coding RNA is filed under the name Ailuropoda melanoleuca (giant panda). RNAcentral describes it as "lncRNA (ENSAMEG00000028253.1)". The record is from RNAcentral. Lineage: Eukaryota; Metazoa; Chordata; Mammalia; Carnivora; Ursidae.
GCUCUGACUCAUACGCUCACUUCCCUCAUCUCAACUGCAGGGAUAAACUCACAUCAGCAUCAUGAGGCCAUUGUGACGAUCCAGCAGGAAAUACACAUGAUUCCUUUGGUUUUUCUACAACAUCUUCAGCACCUGGAACAGUGCCUGGCAUAGAGAGGAUAUUCAAUAAAUAUUUACUCAAUGAAUAAAUACAGCCAUCCAGAAAGGAAGCUGUCAAACUAAAUACACAUGCAUAUUUCUGAGCUUUUCACUGACCUCUGUUUCUUUGAUCAUUGGUCACCAUUCACCAGGGAAGGAUAGCAAGUGUAAAGCGUUUAAGAAAAGUGCAAGGACAGUCUCUCAUUUUCAACCUGACCUGCCCAUUAAUGUUCUGUGUGUUGGGAAAGGACAGUCUGGCUGGUGGAGGGGUGAGUUGGAGCCUCCUGGGGGCACCGAUCAGAGAGCUACAGGAAGCUUCUGAGCACUGGUCCAGUUUUUGGGCCUGAGGCCCUGGAGCAGAGGGGAGAGCUCUUCUCCAGUGGGGCAGGGGGGGCUGGAGACCAGGGACCGCAGCUGUGGAAGGCAACAGAGAGGAGCUUAUGGGAGCCUCCUGGGGCAACUUGGUCUGAGGUUAGAGGCCACAGCACACCCACAUUCCUGGUGCUUGUCAGAUGCAAAUGAUGAGAAUAAUAGGGCCUCUGUCCCUAGGCCAUUUGUGGUAGAGCCUGGGCUCCCGGGAAUCAUAGCUCCUUCAGGCCAGCCAUGGACCAGUUCAGGGGAAGCAAGCUCCGGUUGGGGCCACCCCUUCCACCCCCUAGAAGUGUAGUCCCCUGUCCAGAUUCCCAAGCCUGGAACGAAGAUGCCCCCGGCCCAUCUCCUCGGCCCGCCCCAGGAACCUGGAGAUUCGAGGAGGAGGAGGAGGAGGAAGAUGAAUACGAGCUGCCCCCCUGUGAGGCUCUGCCCUUCAGUCUUGCCCCAGCCCACGUUCCUGACCCCGAGAAGGACUCUCCGUACUUGGGUAAGGCCUGGGGAGUUGAGGCAGGGAGUUGGGUGGUCAGGCAGGACAGAGGGUCCCCACGAGGAAAGACGGCCAGGCCUUGCCUCUUCUCCCUUUGUCUGUGCUGGGGCGGCAAGGGGAGGCCUCAGCUGGCAGUUGCGGAAGCUUCUGGGCUGGGCAGAGAGAGAAGGAUGAAGGAAAGGCGGAGGGAGGAGGGAGAAAGGCAGGAGGAAGAGUGGGAAGGGGAGAAGAGCCUGGAGGGGCACUGUAACCAAGGCAACAGUGGGAAAGCAGGAGGCCCGACAGGGUCCCUGGGGCCUCCUCUGAGAUCCCUCACUUCUCAGAGCAAGGGUGGGGAUGCCAGGAGAGCCCGGGCUGCUGCUGGCAUCCCACCCCCAGGGCUCCUCCGCUAG